CUCGGACUCCGGUCCUCCAGCGUUCCCGACGCUCCGCGCACAGAAGUGAAAGGUCGCCUCUCCCGUUCCCCCGCCGGAGCAGACGAGCUCGGCUGGCCCCGGACACACAGCCCGGUCCCCCGCCGCCCACAGCGGCUCUAAAUCGCCUGGAAAACCGAAAGCAGCUUCGCCUCGAUCCCGGAGAGCAGUCGGUAACGUGCGUUUCAGCGGGUCGUUCCUCCCCGUCCGUCCUGGGCAGGUGUGAAAAGAAAUGUUACAUGCCAGAUACGUCUACCUGUUGUGACUGAUGCCAUCAUCCAUCAUGUGGCUGCGAGAUGUCAGUAUAGUUGGAGUUGACUGUAUCCGCUGUGCUUGUGCCAAAUACUUACGGGAGUCCAGCUCCAGCCGACACAUUCCUGGAAUAUGCAAAUGUAGAAUUACAGCUUUGCUGUCUUUCUGGAAUCACACUUCUCCAAGAAAUAAUUGAUGCCUGUAAUUUCUUGCAUGUAUUAGCUAGCUGUUCACUGGACUGACCUGCUGUCUCGGGUAUGCAGGAGUUUUCACUGAGCCAUGCUGCAGUUUACCAGUUCAGCAGCAGGUCAAAUGAUGCCCAAAUCAGACUGGAGACACACAUGCUGCUUUGGGUCUAGAGGUCGAGCUGGGGAUGACCUGUCACCUUCCUCGACCUCUGUGUUUGCUCACCAGCUCUGCAAUAAAAAUAAUAAGAA
This is a long non-coding RNA of Electrophorus electricus (electric eel), 707 nucleotides long. The record is from Ensembl. NCBI's taxonomy places the organism in Eukaryota, Metazoa, Chordata, Actinopteri, Gymnotiformes, Gymnotidae.